GACGAACGCUGGCGGCGUGCUUAACACAUGCAAGUCGAACGGUGAUGCUCCAGCUUGCUGGAGUGGAUCAGUGGCGAACGGGUGAGUAACACGUGAGCAACCUGCCCCAGACUCUGGAAUAAGCUCUGGAAACGGCGUCUAAUACUGGAUACGAAACUGGCCCGCAUGGGCAUGGUUUGGAAAGUUUUUCGGUUUGGGAUGGGCUCGCGGCCUAUCAGCUUGUUGGUGAGGUAAUGGCUCACCAAGGCUACGACGGGUAGCCGGCCUGAGAGGGCGACCGGCCACACUGGGACUGAGACACGGCCCAGACUCCUACGGGAGGCAGCAGUGGGGAAUAUUGCACAAUGGGCGAAAGCCUGAUGCAGCGACGCCGCGUGAGGGAUGACGGCCUUCGGGUUGUAAACCUCUUUCAGCAGGGAAGAAGCGAAAGUGACGGUAACUGCAGAAGAAGCACCGGCUAACUACGUG
This 468-nucleotide ribosomal RNA is filed under the name uncultured bacterium. RNAcentral describes it as "partial 16S ribosomal RNA". It matches the Rfam family "Bacterial small subunit ribosomal RNA", at positions 28 to 507 of the family's 1533-position model. The record is from RNAcentral.